Molecule: long non-coding RNA, 235 nt
Filed under: Lathyrus oleraceus (garden pea)
Lineage: Eukaryota; Viridiplantae; Streptophyta; Magnoliopsida; Fabales; Fabaceae
Description: Pisum sativum (pea) long non-coding RNA (PSAT_LNC000979)
Source: RNAcentral
AGAAUUGUCAGACGAUCGAGAAUUACAAAGGUCAAGGAAUUCAGAGAGUGGAAGAUUUUCAUAAGCGGAAGCAAUUGAAGAUCCAAGUCAUCCAAUUACUUAUAAUGUCUAUUUUUUAUCUUGAAUCUGUUUUGAACAAUAUGAGUAGCUAAACCCCCAAAUGAUAGGGGGUGUCCCUGAUUUAGAUCUGUAAUGACUUUGAGUUUAUGAUUGUAUUGAUAAUAUUAUUUUUCCG